CAGUCAAUUUGGUUGUGAAACC
This 22-nucleotide microRNA is filed under the name Tribolium castaneum (red flour beetle). RNAcentral describes it as "Tca-Mir-2-P2b_5p* (star (passenger))". Lineage: Eukaryota; Metazoa; Arthropoda; Insecta; Coleoptera; Tenebrionidae. The record is from RNAcentral.